Molecule: ribosomal RNA, 460 nt
Filed under: uncultured bacterium
Lineage: Bacteria
Description: partial 16S ribosomal RNA
Rfam family: Bacterial small subunit ribosomal RNA
Source: RNAcentral
CCUACGGGAGGCAGCAGUGAGGAAUAUUGGUCAAUGGACUAGAGUCUGAACCAGCCAAGUAGCGUGAAGGAUGACUGCCCUAUGGGUUGUAAACUUCUUUUAUAUGGGAAUAAAAUGUUCCACGUGUGGGAUUUUGUAUGUACCAUAUGAAUAAGGAUCGGCUAACUCCGUGCCAGCAGCCGCGGUAAUACGGAGGAUCCGAGCGUUAUCCGGAUUUAUUGGGUUUAAAGGGAGCGUAGGUGGAUUGUUAAGUCAGUUGUGAAAGUUUGCGGCUUAACCGUAAAAUUGCAGUUGAAACUGGCAGUCUUGAGUACAGUAGAGGUAGGCGGAAUGCGUGGUGUAGCGGUGAAAUGCUUAGAUAUCACGAAGAACUCCGAUUGCGAAGGCAGCUCACUGGACUGCAACUGACACUGAGGCUCGAAAGUGUGGGUAUCGAACAGGAUUAGAUACCCUUGUAGUC